Mesocricetus auratus (golden hamster) is the source of this 2143-nucleotide long non-coding RNA. RefSeq lists it as uncharacterized. The record is from RefSeq and is a predicted model, not a curated record. Lineage: Eukaryota; Metazoa; Chordata; Mammalia; Rodentia; Cricetidae. The transcript has 3 exons.
GGCCAAGGGCGUUUCUAUGGUAACCAGGCUUCCACUGCACUGGUAUGAAGGCAGCAUCUGCCGUUCAGAGACGAGGUCACUGCCGUUGUGCCGAUUUUGCAUCAGGAGAAUAUAGGCAACCUGACGCUUCUCUUCAGACAGAUCUCAGAAGACGUGAACCAGGCCUGCCUGAAGAUGCAAGCUGACCAGGCGGUCUACCUCCGUGGUGUAAUUUCGAGGGCUCUUGGCACUCAUGGUUGUAGACAUGUAAAAGCUGGACACAGGGCAGAUCUUUGAAGACUCUGAAAAGCAAACACUGGCCAUCAGAUGGAAGAAAACCCCGGCCAGAAAGUGAAGUACUAUCAAAUUGAUGCUGAUACCAAAGUUGUUAGCCAUGGCCAAGGCUAGAAGAAGCCCCAAAUCUUUACCAAGGCACAAAUGAAGCUGCCCAGAUUCUCCGAUUAAUCAAGGCCUUCUCUGUUGAAACGAGGACUCUGACCUGCGAACUACAAGGAAUUCUGAAACUAUUUCAAGCUCUAAAAUGUUUUACUUAUUGCUAAGCGUUUGAUUAACCAGACUUAAUCUCCUUUAGUUCUAUUUGGUAUGCAACAUGCAACAAAAAUAUAAUUGUAAACAUUAAAUAUAUAAAAAGGUGACAAUCCCGUACCAGAUCUGGAUAUUUACAAGUUCUCACAAAAUCCUUCAAAAAUGUGUUUUAAUUGUUUUUUUUAUUAGCAAGUCUGAUCCACUGAGACUCCUUAAUUGAGAAGGUAAAUCUUAACUCCCUUUCAUCAUUUUCUCUCUCUUUCAGCUUCCAAUGGAAAGAAAUUCUCUUUAUUAAGAUGCAAAUUUCAGACUGAGCAUCAGUCCCCCCAAAGUAAGCUCUCACUGAGUUCUUUCUGAGCCUAACCCUCUUGAGGGCCUGAUUUUCAAAUUCAAAUACAGGAAGACUAUUUGUCAGUGUGGUUUUGGCAGCGUAUAAUUGCCCCUUGAAGUAAACAAGUUGGCAGUGUUGCAAAAGAGGAAGGGAUUCUUAUUUAAUUUGUAUGGGAAUUAGGUUCUGCACACAAAUCCCUCUGAAUGCUAGGGAUUCAAAUUUUCUGUAUGGUUUUUCCAAAGAAAAAGCAUCACGAAGCAAGUGAAUGCUCUUGGUCACAGGGUCAGGGAAGUGUAGCCAUGGCAAUAAAAGCCACGGUGCCAGGGAGCAGCCAACCAAUGUUCCAGUCUAUAAGCAUAUUGAAAUUACUAGUUUAGAUUCCACAUCCUGCUGGAAAAACAUCUUCCUCUUGACCUGUAUUUCUCUGGUGCUUUUGGAUGUAACAAGACAGGAGUAAGGGGAAGUCUUGCGCAAGCACUGGAUGCUCAGAUUGUCUUUCUGCCUGUGAUAGUCUAGGACCAUGUGUUGCAAGCUGAGGUGGAGGAGAACGAAAGGCAGUUUUCCCAUCAGUUAGCUGCCAAGCUCUGGCAUUCCUUCACCGUGCUGUGUAACUAGAGACAGGAGGUAUAUUUCAUGAGCACAUGGGCCACUCACUCACACACACACACACACACACACACACACACACACACACACACACACCUUGUUAUAAUUUCCCUAAAGGACCAUUUUAUUAACACAUUCCCAUCUCUUUUUUGUGGAUUUUCUAGAGAGGUUUUCUCUGUGAAGUCCUGGUUGUCCUGGAACUUACUCUGUAGACCAGGCUGGCCUUGAUCUAAGGGAUCCACAUGUUUCUGCCUCCCAAGUGCUGAGAUUAAGGGUGUGUACCACCACCACCCAGCAAUGAUGAAAUAUUUUCAUACAUGGAUUUAUUCUUUGGAAGUAACUUCCUUGUUUUAGUAUUAUACAUAUAAUUCUGAGAUGUAUAUGGCACCAUAACUCCUUAGCUUUUGAAUUCAAACAAACUAUAAUCUUGGUUAUAGUUAAUAACUUAAAAAUGUUUCAAAUUAAAAGGAAUAUACUGUACUAAUAAUUCCUACUUUACUAGAUACAGGUAGAGAGGGGACUAGCAAGGAAAUGGACAAAAAGGGCAAACAGCAUGAUCUAUGUGAUUGUGUUUAAAGAAAACUACCAUUAUUUCAUUUAACCUGACCUAUCUGCCAUGAAGGUUCAACAUAUAUGUUAAUUCUGUGAAAUUAUAAUCAAAUAAACUUAUGAUCAAGUAAA